UUGUUUUAUCACCGGAAAUGAUUUUUGAAAUUUGAAUUUCGAAACGAAGACAGGAUAUCAACAAAGAGAGCCAAGAAAAUUGUUUGUUACGCGAUAUAUACUCACUUGGAGCUAAAAGAAAAGCCACAAAGGACAAGUUCAAUAUGCAGGUUUACAAUUUGGAAGUGGCGCAGGUUCUUUGGAAUGUCUACAACCUUUCAGGAGAAUUUUUUUUUGAAAAGCAUGGCACAGCAAGAAAAAGAUAUAAGACACUACAAGACAUUCCAAGUGAUUUUGAAUAAGACAAUUGAUUGACUUUUUCAAUGUAUUCUUAAAUAAAUCAAAUAGUUGAUGUAAAA
Mytilus californianus (California mussel) is the source of this 338-nucleotide long non-coding RNA. RefSeq lists it as uncharacterized. Lineage: Eukaryota; Metazoa; Mollusca; Bivalvia; Mytilida; Mytilidae. The record is from RefSeq and is a predicted model, not a curated record. The transcript has 3 exons.